This 907-nucleotide ribosomal RNA is filed under the name uncultured bacterium. RNAcentral's name for it is "bacterial SSU rRNA". It matches the Rfam family "Bacterial small subunit ribosomal RNA", at positions 8 to 916 of the family's 1533-position model. The record is from RNAcentral.
AGAGUUUGAUCCUGGCUCAGGAUGAACGCUGGCGGCGUGCUUAAUACAUGCAAGUCGAACGGAGACAUUAUAGCAAUAUGGUGUCUUAGUGGCGAACGGGUGAGUAACGCGUUGGUGACCUGCCCCGAAGAGGGGGAUAACAGCUCGAAAGGGCUGCUAAUACCCCAUGUGAUCGUUAGAGUUAGAGGUCUUGCGAUUAAAGGAGUCGUUCUUUGAACGUUCCGCUUUGGGAGGGGCCUGCGUCCCAUCAGCUAGUUGGUAGGGUAAUGGCCUACCAAGGCGACGACGGGUAGGGGACCUGAGAGGGUGACCCCCCACACUGGCACUGAAACACGGGCCAGACACCUACGGGUGGCAGCAGUAGGGAAUAUUGCACAAUGGGCGAAAGCCUGAUGCAGCAACGCCGCGUGCACGAUGAAGGCCUUCGGGUCGUAAAGUGCUUUUCGGGGAGAUGAGGAAGGACAGUAUCCCCGGAAUAAGGAUCGGCUAACUACGUGCCAGCAGCCGCGGUAAAACGUAGGAUCCGAGCGUUAUCCGAAUUUACUGGGCGUAAAGCGCGUGCAGGCGGUUCGGUAAGUUGGAUGUGAAAUCUCCCGGCUCAACUGGGAGAGGUCGUUCAAUACUGUCGGACUCGAGGAUGGUAGAGGGAGGUGGAAUUCCCGGUGUAGUGGUGAAAUGCGUAGAUAUCGGGAGGAACACCAGUGGCGAAGGCGGCCUCCUGGGCCAUUCCUGACGCUAAGACGCGAAAGCUAGGGUAGCAAACGGGAUUAGAAACCCCGGUAGUCCUAGCCGUAAACGAUGUGGACUGGGCGUUGGUGGGGUAAAAUCCAUCAGUGCCGUAGCUAACGCGGUAAGUCCACCGCCUGGGGAUUACGACCGCAAGGUUAAAACUCAAAGGAAUUGACGG